Molecule: long non-coding RNA, 1889 nt
Organism: Megalobrama amblycephala (Wuchang bream)
Lineage: Eukaryota; Metazoa; Chordata; Actinopteri; Cypriniformes; Xenocyprididae
Exons: 2
Source: RefSeq, a predicted model, not a curated record
GGGCAAACAAGGUAACAAACAAGGAGGAAUUAGUGACUAAGGAGACGGGAACUAAACUGAAAGGAAACACAUGGAAACAUAUACACAUGAAAAAAAACAUUGAUACAUAACGUGAACCUAACAUUACUCCCCUCUCCCAGGCACGUCCUUGUAAACAACAGUCCCAGAGUAGAGAGAGGAAGGGAAACUUUUAGGUGGAUGAGGAGCUGGUGUAGGGGGCAGAGAACUGAAAGAACUUGCUGAGGGGAACACCAAAGUGGAGGAGAAGGAGGGCAGAGUCAAGAUUGAGCCCUGAGAAUAUUCCUGGACAAAGACUGAGGGCUGACCGACUGAUGAAGUGGAAACCCCACUGAAACCGGCAGGAUGACAACCAAGCGUGACAUCAAAGGCCAGGCAGUCCAAGGUGACACUACAGACUUGAGUGAUUGAGGUGGAGACGGAGGCCUGUCAGAACAGGGCGGCACCAGAGGGAGGAACAAGACAGAGCUGGAAGGAAGAAGAAACCUGGUGGGGAUGAAGGAGUGGAGGGUUGAGGUGCAGCUGGUGGUCUGGAAGUCCAUGGCGAAACCAGGAUAAUGAGAGACCAAGGCGUGGACGGAGGAACGAGGGAGCCUGAGUGAUGGCGGACCAUGGUGGAGCUGAGGGAGGGCUGACAGGCCAAGGUGGAGAAAUGGACCUGGAGGCUAGAGGGUAGCCAGAGUCAGCGUGCAGUCGGAUCUCAGCAGAUCAGGCUGGCUCACGGAUGGACUGUCCGGAUUUUCUGACUGUAUGGCAGAUCUUGCUGAAAACACUUUUUGAGCAGCCUGCAGAUUGCUCUAAUUAUCAUAAUAUCUAUUUUUGCAGGAACUCGAUCAGAGUUUAGUAAUGAGUGCUGCAUUUUAAUGUGACUUGUCAAGUUACAAAUGGUUAUUUUUAAUGUAGCUUAUUAAAAGAUGCAGAUGUCUCAAGAGUCAAAAAAAGAUAAGAACAUUCUUAAGUAUUUUUUUGGAAAUACUAAAUAUUCAAAGAAAAUUCUUAAUUUAAAAAUUAUAAGAAGAAAAUAGCAGUUAAGAUGAAUUUUAUUCUUAAGAAUAUUGCUUGAAUCAGGGCCCAGAUUUCUUCGGUGUUCAGAGUUUUAUAAAUUGGCUCCAAUCAUAAUAUAAAAUGUGUGCAGUGUAUGUCUAAAUCAGGAGUUCCUCUUUCACUGAAGGGGUUUUUGUACGGCUCUGUAUCACUGUGUUAAUGGAAAUUCAUAAUACUGCUGACAGUAAUAAUCUCCUGCAUCUUCAGGCUGAACAUUUCUAAUAUUGAGCAUGAAGUUUGUUCCUGAUCUCCCAUCAGUGAAUCUCUCAGAAACUCCAGACACUUUGCUACCAACACUAGAGAACAGGAGUUUGGGUGUUUGUCCAGGUUUCUGGUGAUACCAGGCUAAGCUGGAUGUAAAACUAGAACUGCUGGACCUGCAGUUGAGAGUGACGCUGUUUCCCACAGACACUUGAUUCACGGAUGGACUCUGAGUCAGAAUGAUCUCAGCAAAACAACCUGCCGUCACAACACCAUCAGUCAGUGUUACAGUCAAACACACGAUACAUGAGAAGAAUGUUACAACAUUUAUAAGGCACUUCUAAAACUCUGAAUAUUAAACAGUAAUCUCACCAGCAAGAGAAAGCAGCAGAGAGCAGAUGAUCAGAGCGUUUGCAGUCAUCUUUGAUAAGAAUGAGUGAGAACAGACGAGACCUGCUGUUUAUAGUCCUGACCGGAGGACAGUCCGUCUGAAACAGAGGGGUGGUGCACUUAUUCAAAGCUGCUUCCUUUCAGAAGAAAAUCUGUCACACUGAUUUAAAAAAACAAAAAAAACAAACUUAAAUUCUGUUUAAAUAGAUAUUAAAUGUUAUUUCUCCACUUAUUAA